GAUAAACGCUGGCGGCGUGCAUAACACAUGCAAGUCGAACGAUGAAACUUAGAUAAUUUCUUCGGAAUGAUUUUAAGUGGAUUAGUGGCGAACGGGUGAGUAACACGUGAGUAACCUGCCUUACACAAGGGGAUAGCCUUUGGAAACGAAGAAUAAUACCCUAUAAAGUCAAUUUAUCGCAUGAUAGAGUGACCAAAGAUUUAUCGGUGUAAGAUGGACUUGCGUCUGAUUAGCUAGUUGGUGAGAUAAAAGCUCACCAAGGCGACGAUCAGUAGCCGGCUUGAGAGAGUGUACGGCCACAUUGGGACUGAGACACGGCCCAAACUCCUACGGGAGGCAGCAGUGGGGAAUAUUGCACAAUGGGGGAAACCCUGAUGCAGCGACGCCGCGUGAGCGAAGAAGUAUUUCGGUAUGUAAAGCUCUAUCAGCAGGGAAGAAGAAAUGACGGUACCUGACUAAGAAGCACCGGCUAAAUACGUGCCAGCCGCCGCGGUAA
RNAcentral lists this ribosomal RNA (496 nucleotides) under uncultured Eubacteriales bacterium. RNAcentral's name for it is "bacterial SSU rRNA". It matches the Rfam family "Bacterial small subunit ribosomal RNA", at positions 28 to 523 of the family's 1533-position model. Lineage: Bacteria; Bacillati; Bacillota; Clostridia; Eubacteriales. The record is from RNAcentral.